Molecule: ribosomal RNA, 422 nt
Filed under: uncultured bacterium
Lineage: Bacteria
Description: partial 16S ribosomal RNA
Rfam family: Bacterial small subunit ribosomal RNA
Source: RNAcentral
AAUUUUGGACAAUGGGGGAAACCCUGAUCCAGCCAUCCCGCGUGUAUGAUGAAGGCCUUCGGAUUGUAAAGCACUUUAAGUUGGGAGGAAGGGCUUUAGGCUAAUACCCUGAAGUUUGGAAUUUACCAACAUAAUAAGCAUCGGCUAACUCGGUGCCAGCCGCCGCGGUAACACAGAGCGUGCAAGAGUUAAUCGGAAGUACUGUGUGUAAAGCGCGCGUAGGUGGUUCAGUAAGAUGGGUGUGAAAUCCCCGGGCUUAACCUGGGAACUGCUUUCAUAACUGAUGAGCUAGAGUACGGUAGAGGGUAGUGGAAUUUCCUGUGUAGCGGUGAAAUGCGUAGAUAUAGGACGGAACACCAGUGGCGAAGGCGACUACCUGGACUGAUACUGACACUGAGGUGCGAAAGCGUGGGGAGCAAACA